This 449-nucleotide ribosomal RNA is filed under the name uncultured bacterium. RNAcentral's name for it is "bacterial SSU rRNA". It matches the Rfam family "Bacterial small subunit ribosomal RNA", at positions 354 to 796 of the family's 1533-position model. The record is from RNAcentral.
GUCGAGAAUUUUUCACAAUGGGCGCAAGCCUGAUGGAGCGACGCCGCGUGGGGGAUGAAUGGCUUCGGCCCGUAAACCCCUGUCAUUUGCGAACAAAUCUCACGGUUGAAUAGACCGUGAGUUGAUAGUAGCGAAAGAGGAAGGGACGGCUAACUCUGUGCCAGCAGCCGCGGUAAUACAGAGGUCCCGAGCGUUGUUCGGAUUCACUGGGCGUAAAGGGUGCGUAGGCGGUCGGGUAAGUCUGAUGUGAAAUCUCGGAGCUCAACUCCGAAACGGCAUUGGAUACUAUUCGGCUCGAGGUUGGGAGGGGGGACUGGAAUUCUCGGUGUAGCAGUGAAAUGCGUAGAUAUCGAGAGGAACACCAGUGGCGAAGGCGAGUCCCUGGACCAAUCCUGACGCUGAGGCACGAAAGCCAGGGGAGCAAACGGGAUUAGAAACCCGGGUAGUCC